RNAcentral lists this ribosomal RNA (650 nucleotides) under uncultured bacterium. Its description in RNAcentral is "bacterial SSU rRNA". It matches the Rfam family "Bacterial small subunit ribosomal RNA", at positions 100 to 786 of the family's 1533-position model. The record is from RNAcentral.
GACGGGUGAGUAACACGUGGGAACGUACCUUUCGGUUCGGAAUAAUCCAGGGAAACUUGGACUAAUACCGGAUACGCCCUUCGGGGGAAAGAUUUAUCGCCGAUAGAUCGGCCCGCGUCUGAUUAGCUAGUUGGUGAGGUAAUGGCUCACCAAGGCGACGAUCAGUAGCUGGUCUGAGAGGAUGAUCAGCCACAUUGGGACUGAGACACGGCCCAAACUCAUACGGGAGGCAGCAGUGGGGAAUAUUGGACAAUGGGCGCAAGCCUGAUCCAGCCAUGCCGCGUGAGUGAUGAAGGCCUUAGGGUUGUAAAGCUCUUUUGUCCGGGAAGAUAAUGACUGUACCGGAAGAAUAAGCCCCGGCUAACUUCGUGCCAGCAGCCGCGGUAAUACGAAGGGGGCUAGCGUUGCUCGGAAUCACUGGGCGUAAAGGGCGCGUAGGCGGACUCUUAAGUCGGGGGUGAAAGCCCAGGGCUCAACCCUGGAAUAGCCUUCGAUACUGAGAGUCUUGAGUUCGGAAGAGGUUGGUGGAAUUGCGAGUGUAGAGGUGAAAUUCGUAGAUAUUCGCAAGAACACCAGUGGCGAAGGCGGCCAACUGGUCCGAUACUGACGCUGAGGCGCGAAAGCGUGGGGAGCAAACAGGAUUAGAUACC